GACGAACGCUGGCGGCGUGCUUAACACAUGCAAGUCGAACGGAAAGGCCCUGCUUUUUUGGGGUGCUCGAUUGGCGAACGGGUGCGUAACACGUGAGUAACCUGCCCUUGACUUUGGUAUAACUUCAGGAAACUGGGGCUAAUACCGUAUAGGAGCUCCUGCUGCAUGGUGGGGGUUGGAAAUUUUCGGCGGUUGGGGAUGGACUCGCGGCUUAUCAGCUUGUUGGUGGGGUAGUGGCUUACCAAGGCUUUGACGGGUAGCCGGCCUGAGAGGGUGACCGGCCACAUUGGGACUGAGAUACGGCCCAGACUGCUACGGGAGGCAGCAGUGGGGAAUAUGGCACAAUGGGCGGAAGCCUGAUGCAGAAACGCCGCGUGCGGGAUGACGGCCUGCGGGGUGUAAACCGCUGUCGCCUGUGACGAAGCGUGAGUGACGGUAAUGGGUAAAGAAGCACCGGCUAACUACGUG
RNAcentral lists this ribosomal RNA (468 nucleotides) under uncultured bacterium. Its description in RNAcentral is "partial 16S ribosomal RNA". It matches the Rfam family "Bacterial small subunit ribosomal RNA", at positions 28 to 507 of the family's 1533-position model. The record is from RNAcentral.